This 5771-nucleotide long non-coding RNA is filed under the name Capsicum annuum. RNAcentral's name for it is "long non-coding RNA (CANN_LNC010136)". The record is from RNAcentral. Lineage: Eukaryota; Viridiplantae; Streptophyta; Magnoliopsida; Solanales; Solanaceae.
CGAAAUGCUACACAGUACUCAUGAUCUUGAAGGACCACAACCUAACCCAUGACUUAUAUCUGUGCCUGUAUACUACAUGAUAUACUGUAUAAUGCGGAAACAUUAACUGAAAGGCCAUAAGGUUAAAACUGUAACAUAAUAUCUGAUAAAUUAUAACAUCUAGCAAAGGGUAUAAAUGGCUAAAACAAAAUUGUCUGAAUAUACUGUAGUCAGAAAAGCCUUUAAAAAAUAACUGUCUAAAUAAGGAGAUAAUGGGACAUGUCCCCAACUAACUCUAAUUAAUAAACUAAUUAAUAAGAUAAUAAAUAAAUAAUCAUGUCCUCGAAAGAUGAGGACUCAUUGUUAACUCUGACUGCGAAGAUUGGAAUGCUACUGGUACUCUGGAGCUCGUGCUUCUGAACCUAUGGUAUAAGACACCAUAGCACAAAUGUGUUAGUACUUUGAAUGUACUAGUAUGCAUGUGAGGUAGGCUGAAUGCAAAGGGUUUACAUGCAUGAGUUAUAAUAACUGACUGAAUAAUAUGAAUGUGAGAAUGCAUGCAUGAAUACAUAAUAACUAUAACUAGGGUCGUGAUAACGUGAUUACUGAGUCUGAGUACUGAUAACAUGAGAUAUUGAUAACUUUAUAACUAAAAUAACUGAUACUGAGCAACUAUAUCUAACAGUCUAGGUUCCAAGGGAACUAGCUGAGUUCCAUACUAUUCUUAGUUGACUGUAUCUGACUGCCCUAAAUUCUGUAGAUUUAUCUAAGUUCUAUUACUGAGGCUGAAUGACUGUAUCUGAAAAUCGUGAUUCUGUAACCAAAACUAUGGAAAGUAGUCAUCUUAACGACAUACCCCUAAUACGCCAUUAUGGCUAAGUUGGGGUCCAAUCUAUAACCCCAAUUAGAAGGGUGUCAAUACCGCACCACAAGAAAGGACAAUCUGUGAGUAACCCUCAUAUAACAAGUAACUCUAGUGAGAACGAGGGGAACCCUUAUAUAACAGGUUAAUCUUCCUUAUCUAGCCUCAUAUAAUAGGCUAUGAUGUCUCAACCUAUCCUUGCUAUGUUGUUCUGGAACACAAGGAUUGCUUUUAAGAAUCACUCCCUCCUAUAAUAGGUGAGUUCCCAUCCUUAGGUUCACUCGGUGCUAAUUCCUACUCCUAUCUGAAUAGACACUGAACAUGAUUAACUGAACUAGACUAGACUGAAUUCAGGGAGUUCUGUUAGCUGAUGGAAUACUAUUGAGAUUACUAAAUUACUGAGCUUUCCUGAGUCACAUGACUGGCUGGGUUCUAUGGACCAUGGAUUAACUGAGCAUAUUGUUAUAACAUGACACUAAAUCUAUUCACAUAGCUAUAUUUUUUGGGUACAAGUACCCCCAAAACUCAAUGGAAGGAAACUAACAAGGCAUGACAUUAUGGAAUACAUGACCAACAUCAACAAUCCAUGAUAUAAUAGUUGGAGAUAUUUCAUGGGGAUAUGAUUAUUAUAAUAUGGUACGCGAAUAAGAUAGCACGUAUACAUAGCAUGAUUUCAUAAGGCUAAAUCAUGAGCAAUCCAACAAACAAAUUUCAAUACAUAAGAAUAACAUGGAAGUCAUUUUGGACCACAACUUAGCUAUAGUGUAUAAUAACUAUCUUCCUAGGCAUUUUAUCAAACACCUUGAUUUCACAAUUAGGGCAUAGGCAUAAUUAUCAAAUUGACAUAGUAUAAAUAACUUAAUUUAUGGAUUUCACUCACUUGCUAAUAUAGUUUCAUGAAGAAACACAUAAAUAUUCCCACGUGGGAAUCAUAUAACAAGAUAAACAUGGUUACAACGAAACCACAACAUAAAUAAUAUGAUUCAUAAAUUAAAAUAGGGUUCUUGAACUUUAUGGAUGAAAGGAAUCCAUAAAUCAACACAACGCAUACCUUUGUUCUUCAUUUAGCGAAGAUUAACGGAGAGACUUUCUUGAAAUUGAAUCCCCAAUUGAAAGCCUAGCUUGUUCUUGAUUGAAAAUUGAGAGAAACUAGUUUAUUUUGGGUUCCAAAUAGCUGAAUCUAGUGUUAAAAGGAUUCAAUAGGGGUGGGAAGUUGACCCUUUUAACCCUGGAUGCGUCUUUUAAGUUGGUAAAAAUUUCUCAGAAUGGACCCCUGGCGCGACACAGCGCUAUCGCGCCGUGUCACUGGAAUUUGAUAAUAGGGAAAUUGAGGGAUGGUGCGAUGAGGAGCCAUAGCGUUGCCACUUUGUUUGUGACCUGGAAGUUUGGCGCAAUGCGCCACUAUCAUGGAACCCUAUUGGAAUUUGACAAAUGCCAUUUUUUCUUGUGGCGCGGUGGGCCACUGGAUAAUAUGGCAUUGUUUUACGACGGGAAUUUGAAAUAGUCAUAACUUCUUACCCGAUUAUCUGAUUUAGGCAAAUCUUAUAUUGAUGAAAAUCUUAAAAAUUUCACAUGUACAAAAGUGGAUUCAUCUUCCAAAGUAAGUUUCUAACAUUCUUGGGACGAUAUCAAGAUAGGUAGAAAUACAGGGUAUUACAUUUCUCUUGUGCAAUCUUACAAUAGGUGAAUGAUGCUAUGUAUGGUUCGGUUGAAAAGUUGCCUCUAGAGUAUGGUCCAAUUCCAAAAGGUGGGGAACAAUGCCCUGGGAGUUUAGAUCCUGUGUCAUAACCACCCUAAAUAAUUACAUUGGCCUCAUUCAUAGUAGUCCAAUACAAAAUCCUAUCACCAAAUUCCUUAAAGCAAACAUCCUCAUAAAUAAUAAAGUCUUUGCUAAAAAGAAAAAAUGAUAUAUCAAGUAGAAAUUAGUCAAAUAUACUAGAAUUUAUACACUAGAAUUUACACAGAGAUCACUAUAAGUAUUUGCUUUUAGGACAUUAAGAUAGUCUAUUGGAUUUACUUGCUUUCAACAGUCAAGAAUAAAUUACAAGAACAAACCCUAUGCAAUCCCACAAGUGGGGUCUGAGGUGGGUAGUAUGUACCAUUAUCUCUACCUUACCAUGUAGAGAGGUUUUUUCUAGUAAACCCUUUAAAGUUUUCAACAGCAACACAUGGGAAAACACUAAACUGAAAAAACAACUAUCACCAAAGAAAAAUUAACGGAUAAUUAUUUCACUCUAUAUGGGGGAAAUGGAGUACUAUAUUUGACCAUAACAGGUUUUACCAACCAAACACUCUUUUUAUCUUGUUCUUUUUUUUAAUCCAAGUAACUAAACAAAAUGUUCUGUUGGCACUUUAUCAAAAAUGAAAUGUAAAAGUUGAAAAACUACACAUAUGUAUUCCUAUCAAGCAUUAAAAACUACUCAUAGGACAUCUCCUCCCACUUAUGGACAAACUGACCAGAAAAAGAAAGGGGGUACCUUAAGGCAAUAAAGUAUAACAUACAAAUCUAACAUUUUUGAAUUCAACUAUUUUCCAACAUCACAUUGUCCCUAGGAAAAUAUGCUAGGACUUCAACUAUCUUUCAACAGUAUAGAUUUUUCUAUAUUAUAUAUGCACUACUUAUUUUAAUUGUCUACAAGAAACGCUGGCAAUUGUAGCCUGAACUAAAACUAGUUAUCCAUACCUGCUCUGGUGGUUUUCUCAAGGAAGGAGAAAUAUAGACAAUGUCCAUGAGACUAUAACCUAAAAUAAUAUCCUUGAGUAUUCUACUGAUACCAAGCAACAGUAAAAUUUUAGCUCCUAGUGAGGAACCACUAGCACAUGUCGAAAAAAGCAUGAUUAAACCCUACAAGACUUAUCAAGUGAGAAUACUGCCACCAAAGUUGUAAAUAACCAACAUGUUGAAGAUUUAAACGUACUAUGUAGGUUGACAUACUGAGUGAAGCUUGUACAUUACCAGAGUUACUGGUUGAGAUGAGGGAGGCAUCUUAGGUAACAAGUCCAUGUUUACAAAGUUCAUCUAACUUCUCUAGGUAUGAUGCAAAUACUUAAGCAAUACAGGUCAAGUAGAUAGAAUCAUACUCUAAUACCCGAAGACACAAACACCAAUAGAUGAACUUAAAGAAACAAAGUGACGUUUGACCAAAGUAAGUAGGGGUAAGAAAAGAGGAUAUAGCUUCCUGAAAUGAGAGCAUAGAUUUACUUUUGCAUUAUGAUACUGAAGGAAAUUUAUCAAAAUAGGAAUAACUUCCAUGACAAAUUCAGACGCAUCUGACGGAAUCUUCUUCCAUAUAUUAGCAGCAGUUGCUAAUGCUACUCUUUAUUAAAAAGAUCUGGAAGAUUUCUUAUUUCACAAAAAUGGAAUUCCAUAAGAUCAUGAAAGGAAUUCUUCUACCUAAACUCCAGUGAAAAAGAUAUCAUGAUAAGAACACACAGCUAUCAGUGCACCAUCCCUUAAAUAAGUAGUUGGAUGCUUUACAGAUAUCUUCUUUAGAGAUUGUAAAUACUAUUAAAGGUAAACAUUAGCAUCUUAGCUGGAAAAAAUAAUCUUUAAUAGGUACACAAACGUUCCACUCAAACUAAUUGACUCACCUAUUCAACCAAGUCCAUCUAUUCAAUUGUAAGCAGGCGAGCUACAGAUCUUGAAACAACUCUAUAAUGGACAACAACAACACCAAAAACAAGGAAGAACAUCAACCAAAUGGGUAAGAGCUUGGGUGGCAAGAAGCAUAAUGUCAGGAUUUUUCUUGUGAUUGAGCAGUCUUACAAGUGCCGAUACAAAUGAAUCCACAGAAAAUGUGCACACGUAGUCUUUUGUUUUAAUAGAAAGCUUCUCACACAGCUUCAUCAAAGCCUCUACCCAUUUUCCUUCCUCGCCAUCUGCCCUUAAACCAACUAAUAUCUUCUUGAUCCAUAUACUCUGGUGAGACAAUGAUGCUGACCCCAUUGUAGAGCUAGGGAGUAAAUCAUCCAAUCUAACACCCAAUUUCUUCAUCAUUCCCUAAUGUACACUACUAGUUGAAGUCAAAUUCUGGUACAAAAUCCCAACACCACCUUCACUCCCAUUAUCAUCAUCCUCACCACCAGCACCACCACCAUAAUCUAUAUUUAAUCCCAGACUCUAUUCAAUAUCCCUAUCCCUGACUCUAACCUCAUGUCAUUUCUUCUAACCUAAUUCUCUUUUUUAUCAGUAAAUAAAGCUAUUCCAUCAGUUUUUAUGUCACUUAUUAUGUUUGAUAAUGUACAGUUGUACUAUUUGUAAGAUCCAAAAAGGCAAUUUAGGAGUUAUUACUUUAUUUGUUAGAAUUAACAGAGAGUACCUAGUAUGGGACCACUAAGUACACAGAGAUUACAAGAAUUCCACAAACUGUAGAAUUUCACCCUACAACUCAAAGAAAAAGAUAUCAUGGCCCAGAGUUCAUACGUUAUCAAGUUAUAGAAAAUAUUUUUAAAAACCACUCUUUAAGAGAAUAAUCACAAAAAAUUUACACUUUACAAGAAAUUAGGGCACUAAAAUCCUACGACACUUUGCAACAAGCAAAAACAUACUGUUAGAAACUUAAAAUUAGGGCUCUGAAUUCUAAUGGCACUGAAAUACCUAUUUCAAUAGAUGGCUAGGGUUCAAUCAAAAGUGGUCAAAGAAAUGGUGGUCGAAGCACUCAUAGUUGGAAUAGUAGUCGAUCAGAGAACUGAUUUAAUAUAUGAAGUAGUCGAUUGAUCAGAGACCCAAAGUUUUUGUAAAUUUUGAGAUGCGUACUAGAUCCUGGAGCCUGGAGCACUGAUUUAAAGACCAGUCGAUUUAGAGCAGUCAAUCGAUCUAGAGCAGUCGACGAUUGGAAACCCAAACUUUCUAAUUUGAGAUUUACUUAGUAGUGUUUAACCCUCUAAUUUGGCGCACUGGUGGGGCUUUUGUUAAGACCCCAAAGUGGGU